RNAcentral lists this ribosomal RNA (253 nucleotides) under uncultured bacterium. RNAcentral describes it as "partial 16S ribosomal RNA". It matches the Rfam family "Bacterial small subunit ribosomal RNA", at positions 524 to 776 of the family's 1533-position model. The record is from RNAcentral.
UACGGAGGAUCCAAGCGUUAUCCGGAAUCAUUGGGUUUAAAGGGUCCGUAGGCGGUUUGGUAAGUCAGUGGUGAAAGCCCAUCGCUCAACGGUGGAACGGCCAUUGAUACUGCUAAACUUGAAUUAUUAGGAAGUAACUAGAAUAUGUAGUGUAGCGGUGAAAUGCUUAGAGAUUACAUGGAAUACCAAUUGCGAAGGCAAGUUACUACUAAUGGAUUGACGCUGAUGGACGAAAGCGUGGGUAGCGAACAGG